CUAGCCGGCGGGUAGCUCUUUGUAGCUCUCACAUGGUCGCCCACUGAAGCAAAGCAGGGCUGCGCCCGGUCUUUACCUGGAUUGGAGACCACAUGGGAAAAUUUGGUUGCUGGCGAAA
RNAcentral lists this ribosomal RNA (118 nucleotides) under Danio rerio (zebrafish). Lineage: Eukaryota; Metazoa; Chordata; Actinopteri; Cypriniformes; Danionidae. The record is from RNAcentral.